Molecule: ribosomal RNA, 497 nt
Filed under: uncultured bacterium
Lineage: Bacteria
Description: partial 16S ribosomal RNA
Rfam family: Bacterial small subunit ribosomal RNA
Source: RNAcentral
GAUGAACGCUGGCGGCGUGCCUAAUACAUGCAAGUCGAGCGAACAGAUGAGGAGCUUGCUCCUCUGACGUUAGCGGCGGACGGGUGAGUAACACGUGGAUAACCUACCUAUAAGACUGGGAUAACUUCGGGAAACCGGAGCUAAUACCGGAUAAUAUAUUGAACCGCAUGGUUCAAUAGUGAAAUACGUUUUUUCUGUCUCUUAUAGAUGGAUCCGCGCCGCAUUAGCUAGUUGGUAAGGUAACGGCUUACCAAGGCAACGAUGCGUAGCCGACAUGAGAGGGUGAUCGGCCACACUGGAACUGAGACACGGUCCAGACUCCUACGGGAGGCAGCAGUAGGGAAUCUUCCGCAAUGGGCGAAAGCCUGACGGAGGAACGCGGCGUGAGUGAUGAAGGUGUUGGGAUCGUAAAACUGUGUUAUUAGGGAAGAACAAAUGUGUAAGUAAGUAUGCACGUAAUGACGGUACCUAAUCAGAAAGCCACGGCUAACUACGUG